This 60-nucleotide transfer RNA is filed under the name Pseudoniphargus mateusorum. Its description in RNAcentral is "tRNA-His". Lineage: Eukaryota; Metazoa; Arthropoda; Malacostraca; Amphipoda; Allocrangonyctidae. The record is from RNAcentral.
GUUUUAAUAGUUUAGGUAAAAUAUUAUAUUGUGGGUAUAAAGAGACAUAAGUUUAAGGCA